RNAcentral lists this long non-coding RNA (4629 nucleotides) under Malus domestica (apple). Its description in RNAcentral is "long non-coding RNA (MDOM_LNC007235)". Lineage: Eukaryota; Viridiplantae; Streptophyta; Magnoliopsida; Rosales; Rosaceae. The record is from RNAcentral.
AGAACUUACGAUCUUGAGGUCAUUCAAAUUAUCUGCAACCGGAAGCUUAUUGUCCCCGGCCACGCGAAUUAUUUCUUCCCUAGCUUUGUCUUGCCAUUCCACAUGCUUUGCCAAGAGCAGAAGUGCCCAGCUCAGAAGAUUAGCAGUCGUUUCCUUUCCUGCAAAGUAGAAGGUCUUGCACUCGUCUAUAACUUCCUCUAUCCCUAAUUUCUCCUCUUUGCCGUCCUGAUUCUUGUAAGGAGACAUCAACAGACUAAGCAGAUUUGUUGAAUCUUCACUUCUUUCGCAGUUACUCGCGAUCAACAUCCGUAUUGAUUCACGAGUUUCCUUGUCGAGUCUCCACCUUUCUCGGUUAUUCUUGGUAGGCAAAAACCUGCAUUCAAAGGAAUUCAAUGAGUUUGGUAUCAGUCACAUUUCGCCUUUGAAAUUUGGACGGAAAGCCACCUGAAUCCCGGAAUGUAGAUGCUCCUGACUGCCUUGGAGAACAGAUGCAUUUGUUGUUCUUGUAAGUCGAAAACACGCUUUCCCUCCUCAAAACUGGUUCCGAAAGCUGUCCUUGAUAUCACGUCCGCUGAGAGGUCAUGAAGUUCUUUGUGCACAUCGAUUUCAAACUCAUCUCUCCCUCCUCUUACAUUCUCCCACUUCUCCAACAUCUUCAUGGUACUCCCCACAAUAUCUGGCACCCAACCCUGCAUCACAGAAAGAACCCAACAACAACAUCAAAUAAAUCGUUUCCCAAAGCAUUUGAUAGAAGAAACUUGAAAGUGCUUUUAAAAGCACUUGCCAAAGUACCUCAAGAAUCACUUACAAGCAAAAAAUCUUCGCUUAAUCUUGCAUAUUAUGAUAUAAAGGCUAAAGUAUCAUUAAGUUUCUUAUCCUAAAUCAUUAAGUUUAGCACAAAAUUCAGUUGUCGCGAUUUAACUCAUAUAGCUACCAAUUAUUUCGAAACAUAAAACAUCAUCUAAUUUACCCUUGCAUAUCUAAUUGUAAUAUCCACAACUUAUACUUAAACUACAAAAGAAGUAAGGUUUGUGUCCAUCCGUUUUUCAUACAUAAAGUUUGCUCAUACCGCCAAAGUUCCUUUACUUAAAAAAUACUUAAAUUGUAAAAGUUAGUAAACUACUAUGAUUAAGAGAUCUUUUGGAUGUCUUCUUAAAAUAACUGAAAACGUUUUUUGUGGAAAUAUUUUUAGAACCAAUUCUUAGUAAAAAUACAAAUAAAUUCUAGAAAAAUACUUUAAAUGCUUUUGAAACAAAAAAAAAUAUUUUCUCUAAAAACACAUACAGUGAUUUUAAAGGCCUGGUUUAUAAUAUGCCUAAAAGGAAAAGCCCAAUUUGGGAAUCUCCAUUCAAUUAAGUGGGUUCAUAGAGUAAUUACCUUGACCCGCUCCAUUUUAAAGGCCUGGUUUACGAUCCUUCUAUGAAAAGCCCAUUCCUCUCCCUCAAGCCCAAUAACUCCCUCUCCAAACAAAGUUUUGGUCAACGGGUUAAACUGUAAUCUCCGAAACGACCCACUCGUAUUCGUCAACACUUCCUUGAUCAUGUCGGGGUCGGAUACUGCCAGCCUGGCCCUGGACCCGAACCAGUAGAGGAAAUUCUUCCCGUACAUGCGGGACCACGUGUGGUAAAAUGGGGACGCGAGGUGAAGAUUGUCGUGGUCAAAAGGGCCCCGCUUUGAGAGAGCUUCCGCGAACAGACGGCGGAUCUCGGCGGAGUUCCCGAAGAUCGGACGGUAGGCGGGCCCCCGUAUGCCUUGCUGCCGGAAGUGAUGUUGCGUCCUCAGCGGGACCCAUAUCGUGGAGUUUACAAAUUUGGAGAGGAAGAAAAGUAGAGGAAGGAAAAGAACAGCGAGGAGGAGAAGGAAAUGCAUAAUCUCAGUGUAUCAUUUUUUUUUUUGAAAGAAUCUGAGUGUAUCAUUAGCAUAAAGAGAGAGUGAGAGAAGACGAAGACUUAUUGGUUCCUAAUACAUCAUGCAUGACGUACACCAACGUAAUCCUUUUUAACAAAAGGGUGUGACAUCCACACCCUAUUUUACUUCUCACAUAUUUUUUUAAUUUUCGAUCUUCGGAUCGGAUGAAUUUCAGAAGAUCAACGGACAUAAAUUAUCAAGUGAUAUGUGAAAAGUAAAAUAUGGUGUGUAGAUAGCACACCCCUUGAACAAAUUGUAAAACUAGCUUUGAGUUUUAACAAUAAGAACAAAAUAAAAUGUAAAGUGAAUAGUAUCAAGAUUGACUUUUUAGUGUAAAAAUGUAGUUUUUCAUUAAAUUGAACAAUAUCAGGAGUUUUUCGUUAAAGUUUCUAAAUAGGAUUUUUGAAGUGCUAAUAACAAUUCCAUUUAAUAAAAUCACUAAUGUUUUGGAAUUUAGAGUUAUGACUAUUUUAUUAUCGGAUAGUACUGUUUACAUAAUUAUUUUUUAUUUUUAACACACUUUUUUAAUUUUCAAUCAUCAACUUAAAUAAACUGAAAAAAAAAUUAAUAUAGCUUGCCCCCUUAUGCGUAUGAGAAGUAAAAAUAAAUCGGUGUAUGUACUACAUACUGCAUUCAUGGCAGUGUUGAAUAUCACAAAGAAACUUAUCCAAAAAAUGGGGCAAUUCAGUUAGUUACGAGCAUCCAUUCCUGCAUGCGAUCCUAAGUUCGACUCACUCUAAACCUCAACUGCCGCUUGAAAAAACAACUUGUUAGUUGGUAAUUCAAAAAAAAAAAAAAUUGAAAGAGGUCCAAUUUUAUAGCUCAUAUUUUGAAAUAGGUCGAAUUUUUAGUGAUUUUUUAUUUUUGAAAUAUGUCCAAUUUUUAGUCCAAUUGGACCUAUAUCAAAAGACCCCUAAAAAAAUUAGAUCGAUGCUAAGUAGUAGGGCUAGAAAUUUUUUUCCAGAAAUCCUAAACCAAAUAAAAAAAAAUUCGAUCCUAUACCGAAAUUUUUUCAAAUUUAUUAUAUUGAACCGAACCGAAAAAACAUGUAUAUUUAUUUUUGUUACAUGCAUGUUAAAUGUUGAAUUUAAGUAGUUUGAUGGUAGAUUAUAUUAGAAACAGAAGUAUGAAAUUAAGUAGGUUGAAACUUUGGAACAUCAAUUUGACUUGGUAUGAAUGAAUGAAUAUUUCAAUUGGUAUAGAAUUUCAAAUUAAUAUGAGAUAAAAAACACAAAUUUCAAUUGAUAUGAAAUUUGGAACAAAAUUUUAGGCCGAAAGCCUAAAUUUUGGCCCACAUUCAAAAAAUCUCAAAUUUUAUCCCAAAAGUCCAAAAGCCAAAAUCUAAUUCUGAUCAAUCCCGAAAUACUAAAAGUAUUUCAGGAAUCUUGAAAAUUGGGAAUACCAAAAUUUCGGUUUGGGAUUAGUCUUCAAAUUCCCGUCUCAAAAAUUUUCGGUUUGAGAUCCCAUACCGAACCACCUCUGCUAAGUAGUGUCACGGAUCGUUAAAAUACAUUACGAUGUAGAUCUCACAAAAAUGUGUCAAAACUUGUGUAAAAAAAUGAUGUCAUGAAUUUGCCUCCAAUAGAAUUAGAUAGAUAAAGAAUAGUAAUUUAUUACUCAUUUCUUAUAUCUUCUAUGCUUGACUUGCGCAGUUUCUUUUUAUUUCAAGUAAUUAGUGCGGAAAGAAAAUUCGAACUUAGUGUAAGAGAACGAUCAAAGUCACAAGUGAAAUUCAACUUACAGUCUUAACGUCACCGAAAAUAAGGGGAAAUUUCGUAGAAAAUACAAUCACAUAUGGUUACAAUAUGACUUUAGGAAUCUGUUUUCUAAAGCUUCAUUGUACAAUACCUAAUUAGAAUCUUCAAUUUGAAAUCCUGCUAAAGAGGAUUUGAGCGCCAUACCGUGGCUGCAAGGUUACGAACAACGUUGGGGCAUGAACAUAUGUUGGAGACACCGUGAAAGAAUAGCGCCGGAUGACGGUUGCUAACACAAGUUUCGCUUCAACAAGAGCCAAGUUUUGGCCUGCACAGAUUCUAGGACCCAGACCAAAUGGAAAGUACGAGGCUAAAUGGCUUCGAGGCUCGGAAAACCUCAGCGGGUUGAACUCGUUGGCAUCUUCUCCCCAUAUCUCAGUGUCGUGAUGGACCGCGGCCAAAGCCAAAUAAAGCUGUGUGUCUGCAGGAAUGUCCAGGCUCCCAAGCUUAACCUUCUUUGUUGCUUGCCUCAAAAUCACAACCGCCGGAGGAUACAGCCUAAGUGUUUCGUUAACGAUCAUGCUAACCUGUUCAAAACGGGAUAGAAAAUAAACAUGCAUGGGGAUGCAGCAAACUAAUUGUGCAAUUUAAGUACAAAAAUUAACUUUACAGAACUUACAAUUUUGAGGUCAUUCAAAUUAUCUGCAACCGGAAGCUUAUUGUCCCCCGACACGCGAAUUAUUUCUUCCCUAGCUUUGUCUUGCCAUUCCACAUGCUUUGCCAAGAGCAGAAGUGCCCAGCUCAGAAGAUUAGCAGUCGUUUCCUUUCCUGCAAAGUAGAAGGUCUUGCACUCAUCUACAACUGCCUCCAUCUCUAAUUUCUCCUCUUGUCCGUCCUGAUUCUUGUAAGGAGACAUCAACAGGCUAAGCAGAUUUGUCGAAUCUUCACUUCUUUUGCAGUUAUUUGCGAUCAACAUCCGUAUUGAUUCGUGAGUUUCCUUGUCGAGUCUCCACCUUUCUCGGUUAUU